This 253-nucleotide ribosomal RNA is filed under the name uncultured bacterium. RNAcentral's name for it is "partial 16S ribosomal RNA". It matches the Rfam family "Bacterial small subunit ribosomal RNA", at positions 524 to 776 of the family's 1533-position model. The record is from RNAcentral.
UACGUAGGUGGCAAGCGUUGUCCGGAUUUAUUGGGUUUAAAGGGUGCGUAGGUGGUCUAUUAAGUCAGUGCUGAAAUAUCCCGGCUUAACCGGGAGGGUGGCAUUGAUACUGAUGGACUUGAGUGGAGUUGAGGUAGGCGGAAUUGACGGUGUAGCGGUGAAAUGCUUAGAUAUCGUCAAGAACACCGAUAGCGAAGGCAGCUUACUAAGCUCUAACUGACACUGAUGCACGAAAGUGUGGGGAUCAAACAGG